This 253-nucleotide ribosomal RNA is filed under the name uncultured bacterium. RNAcentral's name for it is "partial 16S ribosomal RNA". It matches the Rfam family "Bacterial small subunit ribosomal RNA", at positions 524 to 776 of the family's 1533-position model. The record is from RNAcentral.
UACAGAGGUCUCAAGCGUUGUUCGGAUUCAUUGGGCGUAAAGGGUGCGUAAGCGGCGCGGUAAGUCGGGUGUGAAAUCUCGGAGCUUAACUCCGAAACUGCAUUCGAUACUGCCGUGCUUGAGGACUGGAGAGGAGACUGGAAUUUACGGUGUAGCGGUGAAAUGCGUAGAUAUCGUAAGGAAGACCAGUGGCGAAGGCGGGUCUCUGGACAGUUCCUGACGCUGAGGCACGAAGGCCAGGGGAGCAAACGGG